This 722-nucleotide ribosomal RNA is filed under the name uncultured bacterium. RNAcentral describes it as "bacterial SSU rRNA". It matches the Rfam family "Bacterial small subunit ribosomal RNA", at positions 28 to 749 of the family's 1533-position model. The record is from RNAcentral.
AUUGAACGCUGGCGGCAUGACACAUGCAAGUCGAACGGCAGCACCGGAGCAAUCCUGGUGGCGAGUGGCGAACGGGUGAGUAAUACAUCGGAACGUGCCCAGUAGUGGGGGAUAACCCGGCGAAAGCCGGACUAAUACCGCAUACGACCUACGGGUGAAAGCAGGGGAUCGCAAGACCUUGCGCUAUCGGAGCGGCCGAUGUCAGAUUAGCUUGUUGGUGGGGUAAAAGCCCACCAAGGCGACGAUCUGUAGCUGGUCUGAGAGGACGACCAGCCACACUGGGACUGAGACACGGCCCAGACUCCUACGGGAGGCAGCAGUGGGGAAUUUUGGACAAUGGGCGCAAGCCUGAUCCAGCCAUGCCGCGUGCGGGAAGAAGGCCUUCGGGUUGUAAACCGCUUUUGUCAGGGAAGAAAAGCUCCGGGCUAAUACCUUGGAGUCAUGACGGUACCUGAAGAAUAAGCACCGGCUAACUACGUGCCAGCAGCCGCGGUAAUACGUAGGGUGCAAGCGUUAAUCGGAAUUACUGGGCGUAAAGCGUGCGCAGGCGGCUUUGCAAGACAGAUGUGAAAUCCCCGGGCUUAACCUGGGAACUGCAUUUGUGACUGCAUGGCUGGAGUGCGGCAGAGGGGGAUGGAAUUCCGCGUGUAGCAGUGAAAUGCGUAGAUAUGCGGAGGAACACCGAUGGCGAAGGCAAUCCCCUGGGCCUGCACUGACGCUCA